UUGAACGCUGGCGGCAUGCCUUACACCUGCAAGUCGCACGGCAGCACGGGUGCUUGCACCUGGUGGCGAGUGGCGAACGGGUGAGUAAUACAUCGGAACAUGUCCUGUAGUGGGGGAUAGCCCGGCGAAAGCCGGAUUAAUACCGCAUACGAUCUACGGAUGAAAGCGGGGGACCUUCGGGCCUCGCGCUAUAGGGUUGGCCGAUGGCUGAUUAGCUAGUUGGUGGGGUAAAGGCCUACCAAGGCGACGAUCAGUAGCUGGUCUGAGAGGACGACCAGCCACACUGGGACUGAGACACGGCCCAGACUCCUACGGGAGGCAGCAGUGGGGAAUUUUGGACAAUGGGCGAAAGCCUGAUCCAGCAAUGCCGCGUGUGUGAAGAAGGCCUUCGGGUUGUAAAGCACUUUUGUCCGGAAAGAAAUCCUUGGCCCUAAUACGGUCGGGGGAUGACGGUACCGGAAGAAUAAGCACCGGCUAACUACGUG
This 485-nucleotide ribosomal RNA is filed under the name uncultured bacterium. RNAcentral's name for it is "partial 16S ribosomal RNA". It matches the Rfam family "Bacterial small subunit ribosomal RNA", at positions 30 to 507 of the family's 1533-position model. The record is from RNAcentral.